Molecule: long non-coding RNA, 518 nt
Filed under: Rattus norvegicus (Norway rat)
Lineage: Eukaryota; Metazoa; Chordata; Mammalia; Rodentia; Muridae
Description: long non-coding RNA NONRATT033690
Source: RNAcentral
GACGUUACAUGAAAUGUGGGUGGAAAGUUCUGACAAGACGUUUUUGUCUUUAAGGUCCCUCAUCGAAACCUGAAGGUGCUCCAGGGAAAGAAACAAAUGCCAGGGGAUUCCCGGGAAGAAGUGGACCAUCAGCGGAAAGAGCCUCUUCAAAAACAGGCUCUUCUGAUGGUGCCACUGACCCAACUUCGAAGGCUGCCUCCCUCCAGUCAGCGAAGCACGUAGUGACAGUGAGUUAGCCUCAUGUCAGAUGUGGUAGUUGUUUGUGCUGCUGUAUCUAGGCAAUAUUUUAGCACCAUUUCUGUCUGUAGCCCUUUACGUCUGUCAGAGUAAGUAAAUGUAAAGAGAGAUACUUUUGUUUUGUUUUACUUUUGAGACAAGUCUUGCUAUAUUUUAGCCCAGGCUGGCCUGCAACUCAAAAUCCUCCUGCUACAGCCACCCCCAAGGGCUGGGAUCUCAUGUGUGUUUUGGUAAAGUCUGUACUAUUUUGAUAACAAUAAAGCUAUUUUCUUCUCUUGCUG